CAGUAGCCGCGGUAAUACGAAGGGGGCUAGCGUUGCUCGGAAUCACUGGGCGUAAAGGGUGCGUAGGCGGGUCUUUAAGUCAGGGGUGAAAUCCUGGAGCUCAACUCCAGAACUGCCUUUGAUACUGAAGAUCUUGAGUUCGGGAGAGGUGAGUGGAACUGCGAGUGUAGAGGUGAAAUUCGUAGAUAUUCGCAAGAACACCAGUGGCGAAGGCGGCUCACUGGCCCGAUACUGACGCUGAGGCACGAAAGCGUGGGAGCAAACAGGAUUAGAUACCCCCGUAGUCCCUGUCUCUUAUACA
Molecule: ribosomal RNA, 301 nt
Filed under: uncultured bacterium
Lineage: Bacteria
Description: partial 16S ribosomal RNA
Rfam family: Bacterial small subunit ribosomal RNA
Source: RNAcentral